This 497-nucleotide ribosomal RNA is filed under the name uncultured bacterium. RNAcentral's name for it is "partial 16S ribosomal RNA". It matches the Rfam family "Bacterial small subunit ribosomal RNA", at positions 28 to 507 of the family's 1533-position model. The record is from RNAcentral.
GAUGAACGCUGGCGGCGUGCCUAAUACAUGCAAGUCGAGCGAACAGAUGAGGAGCUUGCUCCUCUGACGUUAGCGGCGGACGGGUGAGUAACACGUGGAUAACCUACCUAUAAGACUGGGAUAACUUCGGGAAACCGGAGCUAAUACCGGAUAAUAUAUUGAACCGCAUGGUUCAAUAGUGAAAGACGGUUUUGCUGUCACUUAUAGAUGGAUCCGCGCCGCAUUAGCUAGUUGGUAAGGUAACGGCUUACCAAGGCAACGAUGCGUAGCCGACCUGAGAGGGGGAUCGGCCACACUGGAACGUGGACACGGUCCAGACUCCUACGGGAGGCAGCAGUAGGGAAUCUUCCGCAAUGGGCGAAAGCCUGACGGAGCAACGCCGCGUGAGUGAUGAAGGUCUUCGGAUCGUAAAACUCUGUUAUUAGGGAAGAACAAAUGUGUAAGUAACUAUGCACGUCUUGACGGUACCUAAUCAGAAAGCCACGGCUAACUACGUG